Sparus aurata (gilthead seabream) is the source of this 85-nucleotide small nucleolar RNA. The record is from Ensembl. Lineage: Eukaryota; Metazoa; Chordata; Actinopteri; Spariformes; Sparidae.
UGUAUCGCUGAUGAUAUCUUGGCUCCCUCUACUGAGCUUUCGUGCGGAAGACUGCCAUUGUUACCCAAUUUCUGUCUGAGAUAUG